GGCCGUGUGGCCCAAUGGCAAGGCGCUUGACUACGAUGGGUAAUCAAGAGAUUCCAGGUUCGACCCCUGGCACGGUCA
Acidomyces richmondensis BFW is the source of this 78-nucleotide transfer RNA. It matches the Rfam family "tRNA". Rfam says of the family: Transfer RNA (tRNA) molecules are approximately 80 nucleotides in length. Their secondary structure includes four short double-helical elements and three loops (D, anti-codon, and T loops). Further hydrogen bonds mediate the characteristic L-shaped molecular structure. tRNAs have two regions of fundamental functional importance: the anti-codon, which is responsible for specific mRNA codon recognition, and the 3' end, to which the tRNAs corresponding amino acid is attached (by aminoacyl-tRNA synthetases). tRNAs cope with the degeneracy of the genetic code in two manners: having more than one tRNA (with a specific anti-codon) for a particular amino acid; and 'wobble' base-pairing, i.e. permitting non-standard base-pairing at the 3rd anti-codon position. The record is from Rfam. NCBI's taxonomy places the organism in Eukaryota, Fungi, Ascomycota, Dothideomycetes, Mycosphaerellales, Teratosphaeriaceae.